UUGAAAGGGAAACGAUUGAAGUCAGUCGUACCAGCGGGAAUCAACCUUUCGAGUGGUGUUUUGGAGUUUUGAAGUGUGUCAAAACCUUUGAGAUUUUAAAAUUUUCGCUCUUUUGGUGUACUUUCUCGUGGGUAGGUUAACAUCGAUUUUGAUCAUCAUAAAAAGUUUGGGGGAAAUGGAGCUUCAAUCUGGUUUUGAAGUGUAAAAGCCUUGGGAAAAUGUGAUGAUUAGGAUCGAGGAUUGCAACGAAUACCCUUUUGGGCUAUCCGCCUGAUCUCUGAUACGUGGCCUUGGUAUCGAAAGCUUGCUUAUGGUAUUGAGGUAUUACGGUCAAAAGGUUAGAACGGAUUACAUUCGUUAAGGAUGUUGACGUA
RNAcentral lists this ribosomal RNA (374 nucleotides) under uncultured Glomeromycotina. RNAcentral describes it as "LSU rRNA". Lineage: Eukaryota; Fungi; Glomeromycota. The record is from RNAcentral.